CACUCUGUAAUUGUAAGAUAUUGCCAUAAUUUGCUCAAACAAAGGAAGCGUGUCCUUCCAGAUUCCCCAUCAUUGGGAACAGCUACAGGCUUUUGACCGAGGAAUGACGCUGCAUAGAGUUGCAAUUUUUCAAAGACUGGACGAUGGCCGGCCGAGGUUGAGGAGCGUCCUGUGGAGUUUUCGGUUUUGGCGCUGGGCGGGCAUGGAAUAUGAACGUUGGUGACGAUGGCACUACCUAACAUUGAUGCAUUAAAAUAAAUUGAUGCGCUUCUCAUCGUUGAUAAA
Long non-coding RNA from Dendroctonus ponderosae (mountain pine beetle), 285 nucleotides. RefSeq lists it as uncharacterized. The transcript is spliced from 2 exons. The record is from RefSeq and is a predicted model, not a curated record. Lineage: Eukaryota; Metazoa; Arthropoda; Insecta; Coleoptera; Curculionidae.